Molecule: non-coding RNA, 228 nt
Organism: Pelobates cultripes (western spadefoot toad)
Lineage: Eukaryota; Metazoa; Chordata; Amphibia; Anura; Pelobatidae
Source: the annotation of a GenBank genome assembly
ACUAGACUCCAGUGCCAGCCGCACGCCAAGGCACGAAUGUACAUAAAUGUUGAACUGUUGUUUGUUCUAACCCUGUUUUCUCCCCUAACCCCUGCCCAGGUGGGUAGCCGAAGCCGCUUCUUAAUCUCAUUCCGGUGCAACCGACCAAACAAGAGACGAAAGAGACAGAAUACUCGGGGAAGGACACCCUGCUUGACAAAGCUGGGAAGUGUGAGCCCCCCAACUGAC